This 547-nucleotide ribosomal RNA is filed under the name Triticum aestivum (bread wheat). RNAcentral describes it as "partial small subunit ribosomal RNA". The record is from RNAcentral. Lineage: Eukaryota; Viridiplantae; Streptophyta; Magnoliopsida; Poales; Poaceae.
CUGCUCAAACAAAACGACGUACUAAGACGGCGGUUCCUGCUCUUGCUGCUUCGUACUCCUACCGCGCUCUAACAACCUUGCAGGCGAAACCCUAAACUACACACCCACUAGUCGGAGGGAACUAGAGACAACGUUUCACGCUGCUGCCGGAAGUAACAAGCUGACCGAGAACAGUACCGAACUGACAGAUGAACACGUUCGUCCGAAAUCAAUACACCGUGGACUGCAGUACUGGUACGAUACAUACAUCGACAACCCUAGCGCCUUUCGCCACCGCUGUAGUGACGACUACAGUUUUCUACUAACCACGCCUAUACCCAAAACUACAUCUAACAACUAGUGACUCAAGUAGUGAAGUCUCAAAAUUAAAAGAAAAAGAAAAAUGAGGUGACUCCGUAUCGAAGCCAGUACAAACUGAAACGAUCAAUGGCCACACUAAAAGCACACACACGCACCCACAACCAACACACGUACGAUCGAUACGUCUCCGGUCCACACUUGAGUAACACAGACAUUGGUGAACUACGAGGUAAAAUUCGAUUAUUUU